Molecule: non-coding RNA, 322 nt
Organism: Schizosaccharomyces pombe (fission yeast)
Lineage: Eukaryota; Fungi; Ascomycota; Schizosaccharomycetes; Schizosaccharomycetales; Schizosaccharomycetaceae
Source: the annotation of a GenBank genome assembly
GAGUCUAUAUUCUUUGUCAACAAUCCAAACUUCAUACAGGGGCCCAAUAAAUAUAGUUGCUGCGUGUAGUAAACUUUUCAAAACUUGGUCUGUCGGGAAAGUGAAUACAUUCAAUGAAGGGCCAAUGAUCAACCUUGUUAAAAUACAACAUACAGAUGAUGCUAAUAAGACACUUAUGCAACGUGCCGUAAUAACUUUCGGGUCAUUCCGAUUAAGAGAUGGCCUUGGUCGAGCAACUGGGAACGUGUAUAAAGAAACAACGUAAAUCGCCGUGAAAAAGAACGAAAUUAAAUAAACUCUCAUAAAAAUAAACUGUAAAUUA